GGAUCGGUGCGCCGGGGAGUGCAUCCUCCACGGACGUCUUCAUUACCUGACCUUUGACGGGAAGCGUUACUCCUUCCGUGGGGUCUGCCACUAUAUCCUCGUGCAGGAUUUUGUAGAUGGGAAAAUUCAGAUCCAGGCAGAGAACGAGCCAUGCGGGAACCAGGGAGCUGUCAGCUGUCUACGGGCUGUGACCGUCACUGUUCAGAAGACCUCGGUCCGGCUUUCCUUCACAGGGGCCGUCUCAGUGAAUGGCCAGGACAUCACCCUCCCAUUUGGCAACGCCGACCUGACUAUUCGCCGCGCCUCCUCUGCCUUCCUGCUCCUCCAGACCUUUGGGGCUCACUUGCUCUGGGGCCUGGAGUUCCCCGCCGCCUAUGUCACUCUGCAGC
Thamnophis sirtalis is the source of this 389-nucleotide non-coding RNA. NCBI's taxonomy places the organism in Eukaryota, Metazoa, Chordata, Lepidosauria, Squamata, Natricidae. The record is from RefSeq and is a predicted model, not a curated record.